RNAcentral lists this transfer RNA (76 nucleotides) under Candidatus Rokuibacteriota bacterium. RNAcentral describes it as "Candidatus Rokubacteria bacterium tRNA-His". It matches the Rfam family "tRNA". From Rfam's summary of the family: Transfer RNA (tRNA) molecules are approximately 80 nucleotides in length. Their secondary structure includes four short double-helical elements and three loops (D, anti-codon, and T loops). The record is from RNAcentral. Lineage: Bacteria; Candidatus Rokuibacteriota.
GUGAGCGUAGCUCAACGGUUAGAGCACUGGAUUGUGGAUCCAGGGGUUGAGGGUUCAAGUCCCUUCGCUCACCCCA